This 1186-nucleotide long non-coding RNA is filed under the name Homo sapiens (human). RNAcentral's name for it is "long intergenic non-protein coding RNA 862". Lineage: Eukaryota; Metazoa; Chordata; Mammalia; Primates; Hominidae. The record is from RNAcentral.
GGGUCCCAGUCCCUGACUGCAAAAGGAAGCCAAAACUGACAACAACGUCUCCUUCUCUACGGAGGUUUGUAGAAAGGCUGUACAAAAAUCUCACAAGAUGUAUUUCUUCUCGUGGACUGGAGUCCCAAGGUGCUUAAGAGCUCUUCAAUUUGUUAAUGGAAAGAAACACCAUUUACACCGGAUGGCUACAAAGCAACCUUAUUCUGAGAGAGAGGAUCUCAUUCUGUCACCCAGGCUGGAGUGCAUGAUCAUAGCUCACUGCAGCCUCGACCUCCUGGGCUCAAGUGAUCCUCCUGCUCCAGCCUCUCAAGUAGCUAGGACUACAGAUCUUUUCUCAGAAUAGCAGUCUGUAGGCUGUCACCUAAAGUGUCCUGUUUUCAGUGCUGCACCUGCUCUGAGCUUCAUCUUUUUACGAAGACGUCAUGGUGUGCUAUCUGUACUGGGAAACUUUCCCCAGCAUCAGCCAUCUCCUGAAGAUAACAUUGUCUGCUAGAGAUUGUCAUGUAUGUGGAUUGAAUCUCUUUAUCUUCAUGCUCUUUCUGCCUGAAGACAAGAGCAACUCCACUUUACCACCAGGUGCAGCAGCAACAGCCUUCUAUAGUGUCUCCAUGCCAGCCUCUAGCAUCUAGAUGUUCCCAGCUUUCUACAGUGCCCUGUAAGCUCGCACUCUCUCCCUCUGCCAGUGUCACAGGAGGGUCGGUUAGUGACACAUCCCUGAUCUUUCAACCUCCUGCCUCCCUCAACCGUGUAAUGUCCAAGUCCUAUAAUAGAUCUUUCAAUCUAUGAUGCUUAUCGUGGUUCUGCUUCCCAAUUCAAACCCUGGCUGAGAUGUGGUCUUAUGAGGGGACAUUCCAUGGUGUGCUGAAAGUCACCCCACAGUAUCCCCAUGAUAAACAUACAGAAUAGCUGUGAAUUUCUCUUAGAGAGCCCAGGACAUGAUCAAAACUGGAUUGUCUGCCAGGCUGAAGAGACCCCAGGGUGAACAGAAAACGAUGGAAGCUGCUCUCUGGCCUGCCAGCCAAUCACAUAUUCCUUUAAGACUACCUACCAUGCCAGUUCCGAACUCAGCUGCAGGCAGCCAUCAGGUACUUAUAAAGUAGCUGUCAUGACUGGGGAACUGAAUUUUAAAUUUUAAUUAAGUUUAAAUGUAAAAACUGAUAACUUGAGUCUGUUAUUGAAAAACCUU